AUUUAAACUUGUGUUAGAUAAGAAAAAAACAUCUGAUAUUUAUUUAUUUGUUGGGAUGGGGGACAGGAGAUUUUCGUUUAUGAAUAUGGUUGCCUGGUAAGAGCAAAACAAAAUUAGGCAUGAUUAGCGACAAAUUAAAAUGAAUAAUGAUGUCCUCUUUCCUUUUUCAUUCCUCAUCUAUUGAUUUAAAAUGACUACUAGCCCAAUCAUGAGUAUUGAAAUUAGCGUUAAUCACUAAUGAAAAUAUAAUAAAAAAAAAAUGUAAAAAAUUAAAAGUUCAAUAAAAUUGUAAAGUUUAAUAAAUAAAAGAAAAAUUGAAAUAAACUAGCAACCUCAAUCAGGCAUACGCCGGAAAGUAAUCUUCAAAACGUUGAUGGUUUUCUGUACCUAAAGAAGAAUCAAAAUUCCGUCUCUAGAAUUUCAAAUAGUUGUCCCUUAACUGUUACUGUCCGUGUAGUUCUUAUAUUCAUCCAGCUUAUCGUCCUACAGAUAUGUCCUACAAAGGCUGUCAUACCAUAAAAACGUUUAUAACAAAGCUCACAUUCUAGUAUAUCUUCAUUCAUUAAUUUAUGAAUGUCAUUUAGACUAAACGACGCCAUGUUUGUUUUGUGCUUCUGCUGUCUAAACCACCUAUUUAAAAAGAAGAGGUGGAAGAGAGCCAGAAGAUCUUCCCAAUGCAAAAAAAUAGAAAUGGACCUCUUCUGGCUCACUACCGAAGAACAAAAAAACACGCCCCAGGGGU
Molecule: long non-coding RNA, 742 nt
Filed under: Mytilus galloprovincialis (Mediterranean mussel)
Lineage: Eukaryota; Metazoa; Mollusca; Bivalvia; Mytilida; Mytilidae
Source: RNAcentral